RNAcentral lists this long non-coding RNA (904 nucleotides) under Malus domestica (apple). Its description in RNAcentral is "long non-coding RNA (MDOM_LNC011836)". Lineage: Eukaryota; Viridiplantae; Streptophyta; Magnoliopsida; Rosales; Rosaceae. The record is from RNAcentral.
GGGAGUCUGGCUCUCGAGAUUCGGAGGGCGGUGCCUCUUCGAUUUUUUAGUAAGCAAUCUUGUUGGGAGUGUUUUCUCGGAUGUGAGUAAAGGUUGGGCAUGUUUGCUAGUCUACCUUGCCACGAGGCACAGAGGUUGACACACAGGGACUUUCCAAUUAUCCAGCAGUGGUACUGUUCAUUUACCCUUGUGGGUAAUAAUAUGGUAGCUAGACCUUCAAAAUUUAUGUGUCUAAACUUUGUUAGUGCUGUUUCUUUGCUAUUCUUCUUUUACCUUUCUUGGUCAGAGCGAUGUAGUGGGAGCUGCAAGCUUCACGUGCUCAACUUUUGGCAGAGACUUUGGCAAAGUUAUCUGUGGUACCCAUGAGCUAUUGUUGCGUGUGGGAAGUGGGUGAUUGAACAGUAAGAUUCAUGUGCUUUCGACUUCACCAGAAGUCUUCGACAGAAUGACCAUAAUUUCCGCAAAGCUGAGUGUGCGUGUGACAGGUGCUGACAAGGCUAGAAAAGUAGGUGCCUCUUCGAUUUCUGAGAUCGACCCUCGUGAUCUCUGAGCAGCCCAGCUUUUGAGAAAGCGAGCGCCUCUUCGAUUGAUUCGGAGAACGAUGCCUCUUCGAUUUUUGAGAAAGCAAUCAUGCUGGGGGUCUGGCUCUCGAGAUUCGGGGAGCAGUGUCUCUUCGAUUUUUGAGAAAGUAAUCAUGUUGGGAGUCUGGCUCUCGAGAUUCGGAGGACGGUGCCUCUUCGAUUUUGGAGCAAGCAAUCUUAUUGGGAGUGUUUUCUCGAAUGUGAGUAAAGGUUGGGCAUGUUUGCUAGUCUACCUUGCCACGAGGCACAGAGGUUGACACACAGGGACUUUCCAAUUAUCCAGCAGUGGUACUGUUCCUUUACCCUUGUGGGUAAUAAUAUGG